Molecule: non-coding RNA, 27 nt
Filed under: Homo sapiens (human)
Lineage: Eukaryota; Metazoa; Chordata; Mammalia; Primates; Hominidae
Source: RNAcentral
UUGGAGGUUGGCCCUGAUGGGAGGUAC